This is a long non-coding RNA of Homarus americanus (American lobster), 2114 nucleotides long. RefSeq lists it as uncharacterized. The transcript is spliced from 2 exons. The record is from RefSeq and is a predicted model, not a curated record. NCBI's taxonomy places the organism in Eukaryota, Metazoa, Arthropoda, Malacostraca, Decapoda, Nephropidae.
AGAAAUCUGGAACUAUCUUAUCAACACUAGUAAUGAUCUUCUCCUAACAUCUGAACCUUAAUGGUGCUUAUGUUACUGUAAGAACUGCCAUCAUUAAAAAAGUAUAAUUUUAGUGUAAAUAAUAUUAAUUAUAUUUCAGCGUUUCGUCAAUAAAAGUUAACAGAUUAAUUUGGCUAACAGUUAGGUAUCUGUAGGAUCUAUGUUCUCUGUAGAGCGUAUCCCCCAGUGUGGUAGUCCGGAGUAGGAUGAGGCGAGUAAGGUAAACGGCCCUAGGGGAAUGUCUCCCCACCUCCCCCCUGGGCCGGGCGUGUCAUCCUGCUCCAGGCUCCUUAGUUAUGGAUUUAUCCAUUACAUCUUCAAGUCGUAUCUUGUCCCCCCUGAGGUACUUUGUGUAGGAGAAUCUCGUCUUCAUUUCUCCAUGUUUUCUUAUUCUUUUGAACAUGCUGAUCAUUUACUUUCCACAUGUUUGAGUUAGACAAAAUAUCUACAAGUUGUUGGUCAAACGUAAAACAGUUACCUGGCGGAUCAGGGAACUGGAAGAUGUUGGAUAUAACUACGAACGUCUACAUUAAGGUGGUGCAGGACAGGGUUAUGUGCAAGGGACCUGAAACCUUACUGGCAGAGAUCGAGCCUUCUUUUUCGUCAACAAUAAAGACUACUGAAGGUGAUCUUUGGUGUACGCCAAGGUGACGGUGAGGGUAAAUGUUUGCCGUGUAACAAGAACUUUGGAAGGUAGUAUGUAGUGAUGAUAUUACAUAGGGAUAGUUGUCUAUACAGGUUAAAGCAAAAACAUCAUUUCAGCAGAGUAAUAGUAUCAAGGAAGAUAACAGGAGAAGACGAUAAAGAGAUUCAGGGAUUAAGAAUGAUGUUACAGUAAGAAUGAUAUCACAAGAGAAUGUUAAGAUGAAGGGAAAGAAGAAGAAUAAAAACCGUAAUUAUGAAAUACAAAAUUUUUACGUCAUAAUUUUCGGUUUGCGGCAAAUGAAGACAUAACGAUAACCAAAAAUUUCGACCCAAUUGAGGGAAAGCUAACAAGUGGAGGAACUUGACCAUAUAUGACACAUCAAAAUAUAAGAAGAGUGUCAGUCAGUAGUGUUGGGUAGGGAGUUGGGGACCGAGGCUGUUCUUGAUACACACACACACACUCGGUCGGUCCCAUUGCCACAACUCACUUCAAGUCCCUAAUAAACACUGCUAAAUGUGGACAUUAGUGUAUAAUAUAUGGUUAUACUUGUCACAGUAUAGUGGUGAGAGUUUAAUGCUAGAUGAGACUUCCAAAGAGUUUCAAUAUCAAGAAUUAAAACAUGUAAUAGUUUGUAUAUUACCUCUCCCCUUAUCCCAAUAUAAUUUACAAUAGAAAAAUGUAGAUUAAUUCAUAAUUACACUAGAAAUACUGAAUAUGGAAUCGCUAAGGAAGUAGAAGCUGCAAACACUUUUGUCAACCUAUGUCACAAACUGUGUUGGUCAGGCAGUGUAUAUAUACUGUAUGCUGUCACUGUGAGGAAGUGAUUUUGAUAUUAAGUUGAAUCGGCUGAAGAAUUUUCCUUAGUGAAUAAUAUUGUGUUCAUUAUAAAUGGGAAGUCUGCAAUGCAUGGGUAUUAGUAUAAUGCGUUACACUAUGGCAAUAUAUCGGGCAUAGUAAAAUAGAGACUUUUAUUACAAAGCUUAUGGAAGGUGUGUGGACAGUAAGGUAACCACAUCAGAGUGGAAGGUUAGAAAGUAGGGGGAAGUGAUAAUAGGAAAGUGACUUAAAACAAUAAAGGAAGUUAGUACUUUCCUUUCUUCAUAGUUAGCAGGUACUUAGGUCCUUCCUGAGGACAAGUGUACCUCCUGAGGACACAUGUACCUCCUAAAGACACAUGCACCUCCUGAGGGCACAUGUACCUCCUGAGGUCACAUGUACCUCCUGAGGACACAUGUACCUCCUGAGAAGAGGUGUUCCUCUUCAUGAGAACAAAUCGUACCUCUCAAGGAAAGGUUUAACUGAAGCUGUAGUUGAUAUUAUUUUCAUGGUUUACAGGUAUAUAUCUCUUAAGGAGAGUGACCCAUGGUAAAGUUUUUAUAGAGAGAGAGAGAGAGAGAGAGAGAGAGAGAGAGAGAGAGAGAGAGAGAGA